GAGUUUGAUCCUGGCUCAGAUUGAACGCUGGCGGCAGGCCUAACACAUGCAAGUCGAGCGGUAGAGAGAAGCUUGCUUCUCUUGAGAGCGGCGGACGGGUGAGUAAUGCCUAGGAAUCUGCCUGGUAGUGGGGGAUAACGCUCGGAAACGGACGCUAAUACCGCAUACGUCCUACGGGAGAAAGCAGGGGACCUUCGGGCCUUGCGCUAUCAGAUGAGCCUAGGUCGGAUUAGCUAGUUGGUGAGGUAAUGGCUCACCAAGGCGACGAUCCGUAACUGGUCUGAGAGGAUGAUCAGUCACACUGGAACUGAGACACGGUCCAGACUCCUACGGAGGCAGCAGUGGGGAUAUUGGACAAUGGGCGAAAGCCUGAUCCAGCCAUGCCGCGUGUGUGAAGAAGGUACUUCGGAUUGUAAAGCACUUUAAGUUGGGAGGAAGGGCAGGUAAAUUAAUACUUUGCUGUUUUGACGUUACCGACAGAAUAAGCACCAGCUAACUCUGUGCCAG
RNAcentral lists this ribosomal RNA (507 nucleotides) under uncultured bacterium. RNAcentral's name for it is "bacterial SSU rRNA". It matches the Rfam family "Bacterial small subunit ribosomal RNA", at positions 9 to 511 of the family's 1533-position model. The record is from RNAcentral.